Molecule: ribosomal RNA, 468 nt
Filed under: uncultured bacterium
Lineage: Bacteria
Description: bacterial SSU rRNA
Rfam family: Bacterial small subunit ribosomal RNA
Source: RNAcentral
CGCUGGCGGCGUGCUUAACACAUGCAAGUCGAGCGGAAAGGCUCCUUCGGGGGUACUCGAGCGGCGAACGGGUGAGUAACACGUGAGUAAUCUGCCCUUGGCUUUAGGGUAAGCCCCGGAAACGGGGUCUAAUACCGGAUACGACGCACUCUCGCAUGGGAUGUGUGUGGAAAGUUUUUUCGGCCAGGGAUGUGCUCGCGGCCUAUCAGCUUGUUGGUGGGGUAAUGGCCUACCAAGGCUUCGACGGGUAGCCGGCCUGAGAGGGUGACCGGCCACACUGGGACUGAGACACGGCCCAGACUCCUACGGGAGGCAGCAGUGGGGAAUAUUGGACAAUGGGCGGAAGCCUGAUCCAGCAACGCCGCGUGAGGGAUGACGGCCUUCGGGUUGUAAACCUCUUUCAGUACCGACGAAGCGCCGAUGAUGGUGGUGACGGUAGGUACAGAAGAAGCACCGGCCAACUACGUG